AUUCUCUCAUUUUGCCUUCUGGAUCUCCAUGCUCCUUUAUACCAACAAACAAGAGGAAGAAUAUUCUCUCUAUCCACUUCGUUAACUGAAGCCUGCUCUUUUAUGAAGGCAUGGCAUCUCUUCCAACUAUGUCAAACAGAAGAAAUUUAUGGGUAUGCUGCUUCCACACUCUGAUUAAAUGGGGAGAUGCUGCCCUUAUCUAAGAAAACAGCCCCUCUACAGAUAUAGGCAUUCUGUCCUGGGACCUGCGUUAGAACUACUACUAGGCACCCUUCAAUUGAUGUGAAGCCACUCUGGUUACCUUGUCUUAUCCUAGCUCAGACAGAGAACUGAUCAAACAUCUUAUAACCACUGAGAUUGUUGAUGAGUACAAUUGAAGACUCAGGGAGGAAAUAUAGUUCCUUUCAAAUUAAUUAAUUAAAAUUAUAAAUGGACUUCAUGGAAGUGAAAGAGAACUAUUCAUAGAACUAAUAAAAUGUUAUCAAUGCACCCAUUUAAGAAGAAUGUUUGUUACACCUUUGUUCCAGCAGUACAUAUGCCAUAUGUGAAAUCUCAAAGGAGAUUAUCAUUGCCUGCCUGCAGUACAAAAAUAAUCAAAGCACAGUAGUGAAGCAAUAUAGCUUUUGAGACAGACCAAAGUUUGAAUUCUGACUCAGCCUCCUAAUAAUGUUGUAGACUUGGAGAGAUAAUUUUACACCAAGUUUUAGCAUUUUUUUAAAAAAAAAAAACAAUUAUUAAGGUAAUACUGCUUACUUAAUACUUAUAUAAAGAUUAAGAAUAACAUGGAAAAUGCCAAAUACAGUAGCAGAAAUAAAAGGAGCUUUAAGAAGUAGUAACUAUUAGUGCUGUUGACAAGCACACUAUAUGACUCUGAUUUAAACACAGAGAAAGUAAAAAUGGAUACGAAAGCCUCCUGUUCUCAAGGCAAAGAAAAGUUUUGGUCUGAAAUACUGUAGAUAGCACUGAGCAGAGUGAAGAAAAAUGGUUCUAUAUCUCACAUUGUAACAAUGGUCUACUUACAUUUUAUUUAGACUAGAGGCUACUUGCCUUAUCAAAUAUAUCAAGCACUCAGCAAAGUUUAAAAAAGCAUAUAUAAACAUUUCUAUGCUAUGGUUUACUAGUUCAAAUAUAAAUAUUUAAGCUUAACUGCUUCUAUGUAUUUUUCAAUGCAAAGCAAAAUAAAAUCUAGAUAUAGAAAAAUAUUUGCAUUAGCAGUUGUCUUGAGGUAGUAACUUUUAUGCCAUGACAUUUGGAGUCUGACUGGUUAUCGUAAAUUCUGAACAUGUUUAAAUUCUCUUCAAAAAUAUUAUGUAUAUAAUAGGGUUGAUUUAUAUUUUUACAAGUAGUAUUUAAAACAUAAAUCUGUCCUUAUUUCUGAAUAUAAUGCCUAGUUACAAGUAACAUAUAAAACCAGCAUUCAGAUACAUCCCUAAUUAUGUUGAAGAAUUUUUUAUUUAAUCAAACUUGGGUAAUAAAAAAUUUAUCUAUAAUUCAGGAAAAACAUGAAAAUUUUAAAUUCAAAUUUAGAUUACUUUCUGUGAAAACAGAAAUAAUAAACUAUCAAAAUAUCUAUUAAAGUAUUCAUACAAUGAGAAAGUAAUACUGGAAUCUGUAAACCUACUUUUCAUUCUUGAUUAUUUAAAAGUAAUCACCUUAACUCUCAACAGUGGCAAAAUAACAGAUUCAAGGCAUGUGUUAAGUAUAACAACUUUCAUGUUUUUGAAAUCUACAUGAUUAAAAGUUUAUUGAAAGAGACAUUGAAUGUAAAGUUUUAUUCUGAGGUGAAUGUUUCUAGCUAAUGUCAGACUACCUAUACCCUUCUGAAAAACACUUACAGCAUAUGACUUUGGCAGUAUAAUUGAGUGCUUCUAUAAUAAGUCUCAAGUAAUUGGAAUAUUAAAUUUCUGUCAUGUGCUUACAGUAAAGAGCACAUUGUAAUAAUCAUUAAAAACUUAGAUCAUAAAAAUUAAAAUUUAAGGUUAAACUCUAUAGCUGUUUCUAGGUACUGAAGUUUUCAAAAGGUGUUAAGUGGUGUUCUAGGAUCAUUACUAUGGGUUACUAAAUUGCAACAUUCUUUUGAAGCAAUUAUUAAGGGGUAAGAGUUAAUUUGUUACAAUGAACAAUAUUUUCAUUUCCUAAAAAUUGUUGAAUCUGUCCAUUAAUGCAAAAAGAAAACCAGAUUGGAGGCUUUGGGAGAGAAUAUUAUACAUGUUGUGAGACAAAUUCAUCUUACUCUUCUGAGUCUUUAUAAAUAAUCACUUUGUAACAAAGACAUCAAAUUCUCAUGUCUAUGCCCAUGGAGUUCAUAAAAAAUUAUGAAAUUCCAUUAAAAUUCAGUAGGAAUUUUAGAAUCAGAUCAGCUAUCCUGUUAGGUAAAGAAAAUUGAUGUUGAUAACCUGAACAGCAUAUGAGAUCUAGAAUAAUAUACCAAAAGAGGUUUCUUUCCUCUUCAUAUAUUUUCCUCAUGUCUGUUGGAAUGUGGAAUGGAAACAGAUUCUACUAACAAACCUAAAAUUUGAUCAAAUUCCUAUAUCAUCCAUUUGACAACUUUGAUAUUUUAAUUACUCUUUUAACACAAACAUUUCAUUUCUAUCUUUUCCCAGGAUCUACAAUUAGAAACUUAUAUCAAAGAUGGAAUUAUUGGGUAAGAUUAAAAUAGCAUUCAAUUCUAGAGAAUGAGAAUUGAAUAUUUAAAUGAAAUCUCUAGCAAUAGGAAAGAGAACUUAUCACCUAGUUAAAAUAAACUGGUAAGUAAAUUAGCUGGAAUCUUGUUACUGUAGUCCUAUGACAUAAAUACAUAAAUGAUGAUAGAUGGUAAAUAGAUAGACAGAUAGAUAGAGAUGAUGUUAAUAGGAGUCUUCUAUGUCUCCUGAGAUCUUAGUAAGAAUGUUUAAAAAAUCCAAUUUAAUAUUUGUUGAAAUUACUAACCCCUCAACACACAAUUUGACAUUGCACAUUAGACAUUCGUGUUCCCAAAAUUUUCUUUAAUUGUAGCCCUGUUCCUUUUCCAUAUUCUUUUCCCCAAUGAUUUUCUCAGGAAAAAUGACCAGAACAUUAUUUUAUCUUCUCUUGCCAUCCUUGUACCUCUGUUGUCAAAUCAUAUCUCCAAGCAACUCACUAAUGCAUUUUUUCAAAGAUAUUUGUUUCCUCCCUGAGAAAUGUCAUGGUGCCAGCUAUAAAGAUAAUUAAUUUAAAUAUUAUAUAACUAAAUAAAUAUCCACGUUGAUA
This is a long non-coding RNA of Sapajus apella (tufted capuchin), 3228 nucleotides long. RefSeq lists it as uncharacterized. The record is from RefSeq and is a predicted model, not a curated record. The transcript is spliced from 3 exons. Lineage: Eukaryota; Metazoa; Chordata; Mammalia; Primates; Cebidae.